RNAcentral lists this ribosomal RNA (462 nucleotides) under uncultured bacterium. RNAcentral's name for it is "partial 16S ribosomal RNA". It matches the Rfam family "Bacterial small subunit ribosomal RNA", at positions 338 to 795 of the family's 1533-position model. The record is from RNAcentral.
CCUACGGGUGGCAGCAGUGAGGAAUAUUGGUCAAUGGGCGGGAGCCUGAACCAGCCAAGUCGCGUGAGGGAAGACGGUCCUAUGGAUUGUAAACCUCUUUAGGCGGGGAGCAAUGCCGGGCACGCGUGCCCGGAGGGAGAGUACCCGCAGAAUAAGCAUCGGCUAACUCCGUGCCAGCAGCCGCGGUAAUACGGAGGAUGCGAGCGUUAUCCGGAUUUAUUGGGUUUAAAGGGUGCGUAGGCUGUGAGGUAAGUCAGCGGUGAAAUGCCCCCGCUCAACGGGGUGAAGUGCCAUUGAUACUGCCUUGCUGGAAUGCGGAUGCCGUGGGAGGAAUGUGUGGUGUAGCGGUGAAAUGCAUAGAUAUCACACAGAACACCGAUUGCGAAGGCAUCUCACGAAUCCGCGAUUGACGCUGAUGCACGAAAGCGUGGGUAUCAAACAGGAUUAGAUACCCGAGUAGUC